AAAAAGAGUUACAGAUCCCAAUACUGACCUAAGGUGUUUAGACGAAGUCUAAUGACAGACCCAGCGUAACGUUAAUGUGAAGAAUGGAGCUACUUGUGCAUUACAAAGAAAAGAUCAUGGCAACCUCUUUAGAGAUCGGGACACAACUCCAGAACAAAACUCGGUUUCUGGAUUGAUUGUUUCCUGUGGGGCAUGACUGACUGAAGAGCUUUGCUAUAUCUGUUAAAGCUAGCAGCUAGAUUUCAUGUCUG
Molecule: long non-coding RNA, 251 nt
Organism: Lepisosteus oculatus (spotted gar)
Lineage: Eukaryota; Metazoa; Chordata; Actinopteri; Semionotiformes; Lepisosteidae
Source: RefSeq, a predicted model, not a curated record